RNAcentral lists this ribosomal RNA (253 nucleotides) under uncultured bacterium. Its description in RNAcentral is "partial 16S ribosomal RNA". It matches the Rfam family "Bacterial small subunit ribosomal RNA", at positions 524 to 776 of the family's 1533-position model. The record is from RNAcentral.
UACGGGGGGGGCAAGCGUUGUUCGGAAUUACUGGGCGUAAAGGGCUCGUAGGCGGCCAACUAAGUCGGACGUGAAAUCCCCAGGCUCAACCUGGGAACUGCGUCCGAUACUGGAUGGCUUGAAUUCGGGAGAGGGAUGCAGAAUUCCAGGUGUAGCGGUGAAAUGCGUAGAUAUCUGGAGGAACACCGGUGGCGAAGGCGGCAUCCUGGACCGGCAUUGACGCUGAGGCGCGAAAGCCAGGGGGGCAAACGGG